Molecule: ribosomal RNA, 402 nt
Filed under: uncultured Anaerovoracaceae bacterium
Lineage: Bacteria; Bacillati; Bacillota; Clostridia; Peptostreptococcales; Anaerovoracaceae
Description: bacterial SSU rRNA
Rfam family: Bacterial small subunit ribosomal RNA
Source: RNAcentral
UGGGGAAUAUUGCACAAUGGGCGAAAGCCUGAUGCAGCAACGCCGCGUGAAGGAAGAAGGCUUUCGAGUCGUAAACUUCUGUCCAAAGGGAAGAAUAAUGACGGUACCUUUGAAGAAAGCCCCGGCUAACUACGUGCCAGCAGCCGCGGUAAUACGUAGGGGGCGAGCGUUAUCCGGAAUUACUGGGCGUAAAGAGUAUGUAGGUGGUUAAGUAAGCGUAGGGUUUAAGGCGACAGCCCAACUGUCGUAUGCCCCGCGAACUGUUUAACUUGAGUACAGGAGGGGAAGGCGGAAUUCCUAGUGUAGCGGUGAAAUGCGUAGAUAUUAGGAGGAACACCAGUGGCGAAGGCGGCCUUCUGGACUGUAACUGACACUGAGAUACGAAAGCGUGGGUAGCAAACA